This 409-nucleotide ribosomal RNA is filed under the name uncultured bacterium. Its description in RNAcentral is "bacterial SSU rRNA". It matches the Rfam family "Bacterial small subunit ribosomal RNA", at positions 97 to 487 of the family's 1533-position model. The record is from RNAcentral.
GGCAAACGGGUGAGUAACACGUGGGUGACCUGCCUUCGAGUGGGGGAUAACGUCCCGAAAGGGACGCUAAUACCGCAUGACAUCCUGCCUUUGAAGAGGCGGAGAUCAAAGCUGGGGAUCGCAAGACCUAGCGCUUGAAGAGGGGCCCGCGUCCGAUUAGCUAGUUGGUGAGGUAAUGGCUCACCAAGGCAACGAUCGGUAGCCGGCCUGAGAGGGCGGACGACCACACUGGGACUGAGACACGGCCCAGACUCCUACGGGAGGCAGCAGUGGGGAAUUGUUCGCAAUGGGCGCAAGCCUGACGACGCAACGCCGCGUGGAGGAUGAAGAUCUUCGGGUCGUAAUCCUGUCGAAUGGGACGAAUGCACCGCGCGUGAACAACGCGUGGUGGUGACGGUGCCGUUAAAGG